CACACACAAAAGACAGCGUGAUCUGCACUGCAGCUCUCGAUCACUCAGUGCCCUCUGCAGGACGGUAGGAGAACUGCAGGUGUGUGUUUUCCAGUGCUGAUCUGUGUGUGUGUGUGUGUGUAGAUGAGGAGCUCCAGCUCGUGUGGCCCCUAUGCAAGGAACAUUCAUCCAUCAGUUAACGCCGGUCCCUCCUGUAGAGGGUGUAGUAACAGAAGCUCCCUCGUCACAGGAUGUCCAUGUAGCACGGCAACAGAUCACCAUGGAAACCAGCGACCACAUUCAACCCUGCUCCUACCAGUCCAAAUAGCAUCCUGAAGAGGUGAAUGUACAUCAGCGUUGCCUUCUGAUGGACGCUCUGCACUCAGAUUAUGGACACGCAAUGAACUUCCAGGUGACCUCAGCACCAAAAACACUGACUUGACUCAUUCCCCAGCUGGACUGUAGGACACCGCAGGGCCGCUUCAUGAGCUGAUGAUUGUUUUUUUAAUGUCUGUUGGACUGAAGCUCCUUCAGAGAGUUCAUAAAUAUGAAAACAUUGCGUUGAUAGAUGCGGAUAUGAUGUAAAAUAAUAAAGAAGAACACAUAUCGUCUUCCUCAGAUAUUAAGCUAUUGCAUCGUUAUAUUCUGUUGAUUUUCUUCUGUCAAGUGUUGGUUUUGUAGGAAUUUACACAAAUCUCAGUUGCCUUAAUUUUGAAUACAUCUGAAUUUUGUUUAAUAUCCGGC
Sinocyclocheilus anshuiensis is the source of this 723-nucleotide long non-coding RNA. The record is from Ensembl. NCBI's taxonomy places the organism in Eukaryota, Metazoa, Chordata, Actinopteri, Cypriniformes, Cyprinidae.